CGUGAGAUGUUGGGUUAAGUCCCGCAACGAGCGCAACCCCUAUUGUUAGUUGCUACGCAAGAGCACUCUAGCGAGACUGCCGUUGACAAAACGGAGGAAGGUGGGGACGACGUCAAAUCAUCAUGCCCCUUAUAUCCUGGGCUACACACGUAAUACAAUGGCGGUCAACAGAGGGAAGCAAAGCCGCGAGGCAGAGCAAACCCCCAAAAGCCGUCCCAGUUCGGAUCGUAGGCUGCAACUCGCCUGCGUGAAGUCGGAUC
This 260-nucleotide ribosomal RNA is filed under the name uncultured bacterium. RNAcentral's name for it is "partial 16S ribosomal RNA". It matches the Rfam family "Bacterial small subunit ribosomal RNA", at positions 1066 to 1330 of the family's 1533-position model. The record is from RNAcentral.